UACGUAGGGUGCAAGCGUUAAUCGGAAUUACUGGGCGUAAAGCGUGCGUAGCCGGUUAUUUAAGUCGGGUGUGAAAGCCCCGGGCUCAACCUGGGAAUUGCAUUCGAGACUGAAUAGCUAGGGUACGGUAGAGGGAAGUGGAAUUUCCGGUGUAGCGGUGAAAUGCGUAGAUAUCGGAAGGAACGCCCGUGGCGAAAGCGAGGUCCUGGACGUCUUCUGACGCUGAGACGCGAAAGCUAGGGGAGCGAACGGG
RNAcentral lists this ribosomal RNA (253 nucleotides) under uncultured bacterium. RNAcentral describes it as "partial 16S ribosomal RNA". It matches the Rfam family "Bacterial small subunit ribosomal RNA", at positions 524 to 776 of the family's 1533-position model. The record is from RNAcentral.